Long non-coding RNA from Oncorhynchus keta (chum salmon), 853 nucleotides. RefSeq lists it as uncharacterized. Lineage: Eukaryota; Metazoa; Chordata; Actinopteri; Salmoniformes; Salmonidae. The transcript is spliced from 2 exons. The record is from RefSeq and is a predicted model, not a curated record.
UUGAAACUGGACUAUAGGUCUACAGACAGUAGCAACUGCGCGACUUUAGAUCAUUGGAACAUUCACCAAAAGCCACAAAAUACACCUGAAUGGAUUUCUGCAAAUAUGUAAAUACCACAGGAAUCCUUUUACAUUUGGGAACUUCACAUUCUUAUUGAUCAAACAACCAUGAAAAGCUUUGAUGCUCUGUAGCCUGGUGUUGUAGCCAAGGAGCGUUCGGACUGUCGGGACCAGGUUUCAGCUGCUGCGCAACGCUGACAUCCUUCCUCCCAUAGAUGGUCUGCCUGUACAAGCACCACCUGGACUGAACACAGCUAGACAAAUGUAUGUUUCUGAGAAGAUCAGGGAGAUUUGCAACGAAGAGGAUCUGGACAUCACAUGCCCUGCACCAAAAUCAAGGGCAGGACAGAAACAGGCUCUCCGAAUAUAGAUUCCCUUGUUCAUGCGUGGUUCGGACAGACCAGUCAUCAGCACUAUCUGCAGUGCCUCUAUUCAAAUAAUUAUCACCUAAUACACACAGCAUACGUUGCUGCUACUAUUUAUUUUUUUAUCCUGCUGCUCAGCCAUUUUACCCCUGAUUGUAUGUAUAUAUAUAUAACUACCUCAUCUAUCAUUGAUACUGAUAUUGUUCUUGUACAUACUGUAUAUUAUUUUAUUUAUGUUGACCCUAUCUAUUUAUGAUAUUGCUACUAUGCAAGUAACCAUUUGGCUGUACUGUUUACACCUUCUGUAGAGACCCAUGCACUUUGCAAGAUGUGGCUGGGGGUUAUAGCAUUUCUUUCACAUGACCCAUCAAUUUAGACAAGUGUGUCUGGGUAAGUGUCAUCUAAUAUUUAUAAAAUAUUUCUGUUUA